This 1477-nucleotide long non-coding RNA is filed under the name Marmota monax (woodchuck). The record is from RNAcentral. Lineage: Eukaryota; Metazoa; Chordata; Mammalia; Rodentia; Sciuridae.
CAUGGCCCUGUUUUCCAGGUGAGCAAACUGAGGCUUAGAGGAAGAAACUGACUUGCCCCAAACUCUAAGAGCUAGUGUGGGAGUGUGGGAGUCCCUAUUUUGCCUUCUGGAAAGUACCAUAAUAGUGACCCAAAGACCAAGAAGAGAUGAGCAUGGCAUUUUGGUUUUUUAGUUAUUUGCAAUUUGUUAUGAUAUCGAUGUCUUUCUUAAUUUGCCUCUGCGAUGGCCUUAAUUACAAUGAGGGAAAGAGGAUUAUAACUUUAGAAAUAAAGACAAUUUCUUUACUAUGAAAUCGACAGCAAGGAUCUUAAAAAAAUUAACAGUACAGUCAAAAAAGAAACUUUCUUAUUGCAAAAAACUAGAAAAUAAUAACUAAAAGAUUCGUGCUUGCUCAGCUUUUUAUCAAUGCAUAAAAGCAGAUAUGACCAAAUUAGAAAGUUUUUUCAGGAAACUCGUGGAGGAAGGAAGGUGAGUUUAUGACUAGUGUUUAUCUAGUAUACAGUAAAUGCUGGGAAAGCCCUCUGCUAGGUAACUAACGUGCAUUUGACUCAUCCCACCUUCUCAGCAAACUCAUUCUCUCCUUUCUUAGUAAUGGAACUUCUGAUUUUUAGCUAGACAUGUGGCCUCAAAGAAUAAAGUUUUUUUUGUUUGUUUGUUUUUGUUUUUGUAGCUUUCUUGAUAGCUAGGUUUGGCCUAUGACUGAAUGCUGACUGGCAGAAUCUGAACAGAGGGAGUGCCUGCACUUUUAGGAAGGAUGUAACCUAAAAGGGAAGUGUGCCCUUCUUUGCCUCUUCCUCCUUCCAAACGAAUGGGAACAGCUGUACUAGAGCUACAGCAGCUAUUUGGGACUAUAACGUGGAAGAAAUGCAGCCGGAAUGACAGAAUAAAAAUACAGAAAUCCUGGAUACUUGAUGAUUAUGGAGCUGCCUUGCCUAUUCUGGACUAUACAUCUCAGAGAUUAUGAGAGAGAGAAAUAUAUUUCUUGUAUUAAGCUACUAUUACUCUGUGUUUUCUGCCAUUCUAGUUGACUUGAAUCCUGACAUAGGAGAUACUGCCAUCCUCAUUUUACAGAUGAAAAGAAUUUGAGUCUUCUGUUUCCACAACCAGAGUGAACAAUAUCCAUAAAGAGAAUAAUUAUCCAUCCUUGAAGAUGUUUAAUUCACCCAACUCCCAAAGCUGAUAGAGUUGAAGUGCCAAAAAAAAAAAAAAGUUUCUUUUGAGUUUCACUUGCUGGCGCCAUGCUGUGUGCCCACAGAUAUGGAAGCAUGGACUCUUUCCUAAGGGUUGUCCUGGAGAGACUUCAAAUCACUGUGGGUUUUUAGUCAGGCUUCAAUGGGCAACAAAUCUCUACGUAUACUCUGGAAAAUUACUUAACACACAGACCUGUUUAUUCUUUAAAAUGGGGAUGAUAGUAACAGGGUCCUUGGGAGGACAGAGGCUGCAUAGUGCUUGACUCACUAAAUGACCAACAUGUGGU